AAAGCGCACGUAGGCGGAUUGGAAAGUCAGAGGUGAAAUCCCAGGGCUCAACCUUGGAACUGCCUUUGAAACUCCCAGUCUUGAGGUCGAGAGAGGUGAGUGGAAUUCCGAGUGUAGAGGUGAAAUUCGUAGAUAUUCGGAGGAACACCAGUGGCGAAGGCGGCUCACUGGCUCGAUACUGACGCUGAGGUGCGAAAGCGUGGGGAGCAAACAGGAUUAGAUACCCGUGU
RNAcentral lists this ribosomal RNA (230 nucleotides) under uncultured bacterium. RNAcentral describes it as "partial 16S ribosomal RNA". It matches the Rfam family "Bacterial small subunit ribosomal RNA", at positions 562 to 791 of the family's 1533-position model. The record is from RNAcentral.